UAGGGAAUCUUCCACAAUGGGCGAAAGUCUGACCGAGCAACGCCGCGUGAGUGAAGAAGGUUUUCGGAUCGUAAAACUCUGUUGGUAGAGAAGAACGUUGGUGAGAGUGGAAAGCUCAUCAAGUGACGGUAACUACCCAGAAAGGGACGGCUAACUACGUGCCAA
Molecule: ribosomal RNA, 165 nt
Filed under: uncultured bacterium
Lineage: Bacteria
Description: partial 16S rRNA
Rfam family: Bacterial small subunit ribosomal RNA
Source: RNAcentral